This 468-nucleotide ribosomal RNA is filed under the name uncultured bacterium. RNAcentral's name for it is "partial 16S ribosomal RNA". It matches the Rfam family "Bacterial small subunit ribosomal RNA", at positions 28 to 507 of the family's 1533-position model. The record is from RNAcentral.
GACGAACGCUGGCGGCGUGCUUAACACAUGCAAGUCGAACGGAAAGGCCCUGCUUUUGUGGGGUGCUCGAGUGGCGAACGGGUGAGUAACACGUGAGUAACCUGCCCUUGACUUUGGGAUAACUUCAGGAAACUGGGGCUAAUACCGGAUAGGAGCUCCUGCUGCAUGGGGGGGGUUGGAAAGUUUCGGCGGUUGGGGAUGGACUCGCGGCUUAUCAGCUUGUUGGUGGGGUAGUGGCUUACCAAGGCUUUGACGGGUAGCCGGCCUGAGAGGGUGACCGGCCACAAGGGGACUGAGGUACGGCCCAGACUCCUACGGGAGGCAGCGGUGGGGAAUAUUGCACAAUGGGCGGAAGCCUGAUGCAGCAACGCCGCGUGCGGGAUAACGGCCUUCGGGUUGUAAACCGCUUUCGCAUGUGACGAAGCGUGAGUGACGGUAAUGGGUAAAGAAGCACCGGCUAACUACGUG